This 1323-nucleotide long non-coding RNA is filed under the name Triticum aestivum (bread wheat). RNAcentral's name for it is "long non-coding RNA (TAES_LNC004579)". Lineage: Eukaryota; Viridiplantae; Streptophyta; Magnoliopsida; Poales; Poaceae. The record is from RNAcentral.
AGGGAAGAGAGCGGGAGGGAGCUCCUAUUUACUCUUUUAAUAAAAACGAUCAGUUCAACGAAAUGACAGCAUCAGUACAAACCGCUCGAAUUCAUCAGUUCAACAAUAGUAACACGAUGGCCUGAUGAACUGCUAAAAAGAAUAAUAUCCCCCUUAUAAAAAUACAAUCAGCCCCCCUAUGAUUUUACGAUCAUGUCCUUGCAAUUGUGCCCCCUCAUAAAAGUACAGUCAGCCCCGUGUAAAAGUACGACCAAGUGAUUAGCAAGCCCACCCUCUCAUCUGUGCGCUCCUUAUUGAUCCGAUGGCCCAAGAGUUGAGUUUCCAGAUUUUCACUGAAUCAGCGUUUUCACAUGAUCCCUGUCCCUCUGCUGGUUUCGAGUCACCCUUUAGAAGAUGCAUCGGCGCGGCCUCUCCAGGAUCUCGCCGCACCUCCGUCCCCUGCCAUGCAUCAACUUCCUCUUAGCCCUGCACAGAUAAGCAAUAUAGUACGCGGCAUCUGCUUCAUGUACUGAUUGAACCUAUAUGGCGUCAUAGUCUUAUUGCCACAACAUCCUCAUAGCCCUCCACCUGAUGGUAGAACAAGCACUACCAGAAUCAUGGUAACCCUCAUAUGUGCCUCGACGGAGUGGAGGCCAGGAUCAGAGGGUCCAUGACAUGCUGUCCAUGCCGAGGGUGAACUUCACACAAAAUUGCAUAACCAAAACAUCGCUAGCUAGCGACAUGCACACAAGAAAGAGGUCGAGACAAGGAACUGUACCUUUUGUGAAGGAAGCUUGCUCAAACUCAGCCUUCUCGUUGUUAAAUCUUUCACUCUAUUAUAGGCUAUUCUCAGCUUCUUGUUUGAGCUUCCCAACUGAUUUUGUCUUCUUGACAACUUCUUCCUGAAUAAGAAAGCUAACACCUUGGUAAAUUCGGACACUCUGUCUACAAUAUAGGAUUAAUCAAGUUCAGCUAUAUCCUGACAAACAAUUUAUCACACAAUCAUGGCUAUAUAUGUACUUCUCUUCAGUAUAUUUUAUAUCUAAUUAUGGAUGCAAGUAUGGGCUGUUGAGCGACGCACCAACCCAUCUAGUUAAGUGAUAUUUGCGUAAAGUGAAUGAACUUCUAGUGAAAUCUCAUUGUUAAAGGAAAUGGGUAGCACAUCAGCCCACUUGCACCUAGACAUACAUUGACAAGUACUCAGAGAAUAUCACAGAACUAUGAACAGCAGAGGUGAGAGCAAAGGGGCGUACACUCAAACAUAUAUCUUUACAGAAAACUGCAGUUUUUCAACAAGAUAUUUUAGUAACGGGGCAUCCAACCGAACCACACCACCCUUUUUUC